RNAcentral lists this ribosomal RNA (254 nucleotides) under uncultured bacterium. Its description in RNAcentral is "partial 16S ribosomal RNA". It matches the Rfam family "Bacterial small subunit ribosomal RNA", at positions 524 to 776 of the family's 1533-position model. The record is from RNAcentral.
UACGUAGGGACCAAGCGUUGUCCGGAUUUACUGGGCGUAAAGGAUGCGUAGGCGGACAUUUAAGUCAGAUGUGAAAUACCCCGAGCUUAACUUGGGUGCUGCAUUUGAAACUGGGUGUCUAGAGUGCAGGAGAGGUAAGUGGAAUUCCUAGUGUAGCGGUGAAAUGCGUAGAGAUUAGGAAGAACACCAGUGGCGAAGGCGACUUACUGGACUGUAACUGACGCUGAGGCAUGAAAGCGUGAGGAGCAAACAGG